This 1388-nucleotide ribosomal RNA is filed under the name Microbacterium arborescens. RNAcentral's name for it is "bacterial SSU rRNA". It matches the Rfam family "Bacterial small subunit ribosomal RNA". Lineage: Bacteria; Bacillati; Actinomycetota; Actinomycetes; Micrococcales; Microbacteriaceae. The record is from RNAcentral.
GCAGUCGUACGGUGAAGCAGAGCUUGCUCUGUGGAUCAGUGGCGAACGGGUGAGUAACACGUGAGCAAUCUGCCCCUGACUCUGGGAUAAGCGCUGGAAACGGCGUCUAAUACCGGAUACGAGCUGCGACCGCAUGGUCAGUAGCUGGAAAGAAUUUCGGUCAGGGAUGAGCUCGCGGCCUAUCAGCUUGUUGGUGAGGUAAUGGCUCACCAAGGCGUCGACGGGUAGCCGGCCUGAGAGGGUGACCGGCCACACUGGGACUGAGACACGGCCCAGAUUCCUACGGGAGGCAGCAGUGGGGAAUAUUGCACAAUGGGCGAAAGCCUGAUGCAGCAACGCCGCGUGAGGGAUGACGGCCUUCGGGUUGUAAACCUCUUUUAGCAGGGAAGAAGCGAAAGUGACGGUACCUGCAGAAAAAGCGCCGGCUAACUACGUGCCAGCAGCCGCGGUAAUACGUAGGGCGCAAGCGUUAUCCGGAAUUAUUGGGCGUAAAGAGCUCGUAGGCGGUCUGUCGCGUCUGCUGUGAAAACCCGAGGCUCAACCUCGGGCCUGCAGUGGGUACGGGCAGACUAGAGUGCGGUAGGGGAGAUUGGAAUUCCUGGUGUAGCGGUGGAAUGCGCAGAUAUCAGGAGGAACACCGAUGGCGAAGGCAGAUCUCUGGGCCGUAACUGACGCUGAGGAGCGAAAGGGUGGGGAGCAAACAGGCUUAGAUACCCUGGUAGUCCACCCCGUAAACGUUGGGAACUAGUUGUGGGGUCCAUUCCACGGAUUCCGUGACGCAGCUAACGCAUUAAGUUCCCCGCCUGGGGAGUACGGCCGCAAGGCUAAAACUCAAAGGAAUUGACGGGGACCCGCACAAGCGGCGGAGCAUGCGGAUUAAUUCGAUGCAACGCGAAGAACCUUACCAAGGCUUGACAUAUAGAGGAAACGUCUGGAAACAGUCGCCCCGCAAGGUCUCUAUACAGGUGGGUGCAUGGUUGUCGUCAGCUCGUGUCGUGAGAUGUUGGGGUUAAGUCCCGCAACGAGCGCAACCCUCGUUCUAUGUUGCCAGCACGUAAUGGUGGGGAACUCAUGGGAUACUGCCGGGGUCAACUCGGAAGGGAAGGUGGGGAUGACGUCAAAUCAUCAUGCCCCUUAUGUCUUGGGCUUCACGCAUGCUACAAUGGCCGGUACAAAGGGCUGCAAUACCGUGAGGUGGAGCGAAUCCCAAAAAGCCGGUCCCAGUUCGGAUUGAGGUCUGCAACUCGACCUCAUGAAGUCGGAGUCGCUAGUAAUCGCAGAUCAGCAACGCUGCGGUGAAUACGUUCCCGGGUCUUGUACACACCGCCCGUCAAGUCAUGAAAGUCGGUAACACCUGAAGCCGGUGGCCCAACCCUUGUGGAGGGAGC